Molecule: long non-coding RNA, 287 nt
Filed under: Elaeis guineensis (African oil palm)
Lineage: Eukaryota; Viridiplantae; Streptophyta; Magnoliopsida; Arecales; Arecaceae
Description: long non-coding RNA (EGUI_LNC007103)
Source: RNAcentral
GCAGCCAUUGGCGGAGAGGAUCCUUGCCAUCCCGAUUUCUGUACACUCCACACAGGAUGUGAGGGUCUGGAGAUAUUCCCACUACUUGAGGGUUCCAUUGAGCGGCUUUUUUCGAUUGUACAGCCCGAUGCCCUCUAGACGGAUUAAGGCUGCCUGGAUUUGGAGAGUUGCCGCUUAUCCGAGGGUUUGAAUUUUUCUUUGAAAACUUGCUUGGCACCGCCUCCGUACUCGAACGCUUCUCAGGGAGGAGGAGCAUGGAGGUUCAGACAGUGUGUCCGAUCUGUGGC